RNAcentral lists this small RNA (624 nucleotides) under Pongo abelii (Sumatran orangutan). RNAcentral's name for it is "processed transcript". Lineage: Eukaryota; Metazoa; Chordata; Mammalia; Primates; Hominidae. The record is from RNAcentral.
AGCGCAUGGACUGAGGUGCGGGGAAGCCGGCCGCUCACCGAAGCUUUCCGUAGUUACGGAGGAGCUUGAGGUCCACCGCUGCUUACUGCGCAGAGCUGCUCCUUUGAGGUGCUGUUGUUUUCAGGUUCCUGUCCUGCCGUCUUGUCCCACGACGGCGCGGAGUAUCCCCGCUGAAAAGCAGGGGGUCGUUCCAGGCCAUCAGACGUGUGGAGUAAGCUGCAGGAAUAAGACGAGUUGGAAGAAGACCUGAUCAACAACUUCAGGGUGAAGGGAAAAUAAUUGAUAGAAGACCAGAAAGGCGACCACCUCGUGAACGAAGAUUCGAAAAGCCACUUGAAGAAAAGGGUGAAGGAGGCGAAUUUUCAGUUGAUAGACCGAUUAUUGACCGACCUAUUCGAGGUCGUGGUGGUCUUGGAAGAGGUCGAGGGGGCCGUGGACGUGGAAUGGGCCGAGGAGAUGGAUUUGAUUCUCGUGGCAAACGUGAAUUUGAUAGGCAUAGUGGAAGUGAUAGAUCUGGCCUGAAGCACGAGGACAAACGUGGAGGUAGCGGAUCUCACAACUGGGGAACUGUCAAAGACGAAUUAACAGAGUCCCCCAAAUACAUUCAGAAACAAAUAUCUUAUA